Long non-coding RNA from Saccostrea echinata, 375 nucleotides. RefSeq lists it as uncharacterized. The transcript is spliced from 3 exons. The record is from RefSeq and is a predicted model, not a curated record. NCBI's taxonomy places the organism in Eukaryota, Metazoa, Mollusca, Bivalvia, Ostreida, Ostreidae.
CUGGCACCAUAUGCUUCAGUACUUUCAUCUGUGAAGACCCACUUGCUAACCCUACCAUGCACUAGAAAGACCAUUAUGUGGGGACACAGGUGCUUAUUAUGACCAAUGAACAGUCAUGUACAUGUAUACGUGGGUGGUCAAACUAUAUUCACCGGAUGGGUAUUUAUCAACACUCCCAUGUACACAAACAGCCUUGCCCCAGGAAUUUUGCCCUGAAGCAACAGUUUUCAAUCUAUUAAUGUGUCCUUUUUCUUAACAACCCUGACAGCCAGGAUAGAAGCUGAUUACAUGUACUUGACAGAAAAUGAUCAUGUCUUGGACAAGUCAAAGAAGUUCCUUCAGUCUUUCAGAGAAAUGACAGUUGAUGAAAGAUGG